Olea europaea var. sylvestris is the source of this 3305-nucleotide long non-coding RNA. RefSeq lists it as uncharacterized. The transcript is spliced from 4 exons. The record is from RefSeq and is a predicted model, not a curated record. Lineage: Eukaryota; Viridiplantae; Streptophyta; Magnoliopsida; Lamiales; Oleaceae.
ACUCAUGCCACAAUUGUUGACUGAAGGAGUGAGAUUUCAGUGGCCUACUGUUUUCUCAAUUACGCUUCUCAAAUAAGCUUCCUGUCCCUGCUUUCUACAUAUAAACAUUUCUUUCAAAGAUACUUCCAAACAAUAACAGCAAAGAGAUGAGAUGUAGGUGGUUUGGAGUUAAGAUGAAGGUAGAAUCGACGGGUCCAAGAUGAAGGGGAUAACAUUGGUAUUCUGACUGGGAUUGAUGGCUACCUGUUUUACACACAAAUUUUGAGAUUUGUUUUGAGGGUGGACAGAAGCGUGCUCAUUCAAUCACUAUCAACGAAUCUUGAUUUUCCUAGAAACAAAUUGAGUUUGUGUUGUUGAAGCUGUUACCUUCUUUUGGGUGUUGUUUUUGGUUCAACAGCAGACAAAUAAAACCCAUUGCUAUUUUAAUCAGGUAAAGCUCUCGAUUUAUUGUCUCUGUGUAUUUUUUUCUUUAAUUAGCUUGUAUAUACAAGUAAUUGGUUGUGUGCUCUCUUCAGUAACAUUAAUUGAUUCUCUUGUUAGAUUUCUAGGCAGGAAAUUCAUGAUUAUUUAUAAAAUUUAAAAAUAACUAAUCAAUUUUUUUUUUUUUUAUGUAGUUUUCAUUUGCAGUUUAUAAUUUUAUUUUCCAAUUAAUUUACGCAAAUACGCUCAUGAUCUUAUGCUUAUAGACGAAAAUCUAUAAUGAACUAAAUAAAUAUGUUUUCAAGUUAGAAUUUGAUGUAUUGCUGUAGUUUUAAUGGUGAUUGGUGUACUCUACGCUAUUUCGCGAGAUUAGAGAAAAUGGGAAAAGAGCAACUACGAAGGGUUUCACUAUAUAAAUGAUAAUUCAAUUAAAAAGACAAUAAUUUCUGUAUACAGAAAGAGCUUCUUAGAUUGAAUCAAUAGGGACAUGAAUUAUUUAGCUGCAGUGUCUUUAUUGGUGCAUAUUUAAAUAAAUUGGAAGAGAAACAACAACAUAUGCCACAUUAACUGAAAUAUACAAUUACCAUAAUAUCAAUUUCUUAGUUUUCCAAAGUCUACUACUUGUAACAAAUUAUCAUCACAUAGCAAAAGAAUUGGUUAAUAUUUAUUUCAUUUGAUUUCAGAAUGGUGCUGCGAAUAAUGUAUAUAAUAUUUAUAUAUCUUAAAUUGCUUUUGACACCAUUGAAUUUGAGACCUCAAUUUAUUUGAAGUGUAAUUCAUGAUUGACAGCAUGCUCAAACUUGAAAAUUCUAUCUUUAUUUACAACCAAAUAGUGACAUUAGAAGUUAACCCGUGCAGAUGAAGGUUUUCUUUUCCAUAACAUCAUGUACUUCAGCUGCAGAAAUAUACUAAUGAGCUAAAACUAAUUUAUGAUCCUCAUUUUCCUUUCAACUAACAAAUGCUUUCUUUUUGGUUGACACCAAGAAUAUUUCUCAUCUCAAUCCAUGAAUUGAACAGUUCAAUUUGCUGAGGAGAAGUUGAAUAAGGUAAUAAUCAAUUGUGCGAUAAUUUCUAAGUAUCUCAGAUUUAUAUCAAUUUUAGUCUUUCUCCACUAUUGUAGAACAAUGUGAAGUUGCUUCUCACAUUUUUAUUUUGACACUGGCAUUGAGUACAAUAUGAAUUUAUUAAAUGUUUCGAAGAAAGAAAUUUUGGUUCUUGACAGGGCAAAAGCAAGGGACUGUUUUCAUUGUUGAUCAAUUAAAAUUUUAAACGUUGACAGUUUGGUUUCAAAGUUUUUAACUGUAACCAUUCUAUACAUCAUUUUCUUAAGGAGUAUACAAAUGCUAUAGGAUUUAGAUAUUUACAUGAGAAAUGCACUAAUAAAAGGUUAAGCUAACAAAAAAUUUGAAGCAAGAACCUGAACAUUGAUCUUCUUGUUCAUUGAGUAUCGUCGAUGCUUUUUUCCCUUUGAACUUGGCAUAGAGUAUUUUGUUGGUCAUGCAGCAAGGGUUCUACUAUAGAUGAAUUGAAGAAGGAAAACAAUAUUCGGUAUUCUGUUGAAGAAUAGCAAGCUUAAAUGAAGAGUUUAUAUCUCAUGAAUCUCCAUCAUUUGGGUUUGAUUUCACAGUAAGAAAAUAGAGUAGAAGCUGCUUGAUUACAAUCAAGAAGCUGAAAGGUUUGGAGGUAUUGAAUUUUUCCUUUAGUUCUGUUUACACUUUAUGUUUGCAUAAUUUUCUUUGCAUUAGGUGGUAUGUCACUCUUAUUAAGAUCAUUCGAGGUUAUGCUUAUAAGGAAUUAUCAAAACUGUCACCUGAUCAACGGCAUGUUGCGUACACUAUGUAUGAUAGAUUUUGGUUCGCUAUCUAAUAGGCCCCAAGCUAAUUGGAUAGAUUGGUAUUGUUGGUUUUGCUAUAACGGCUGGAUUUGUUUCCAUUGGAUAGCUUGAGAUGAAAUUAAUGUUUGAUUGUUUUUCGAUUAUGUUGUAGCAUGCUUGGCUUGGGAUGACACUGGUUUGGGAGUGUAAGGCAAAAGCCCAUUGCAUUAUUAAGCAUCAUCAAGGGUGUCUUACUAUUUCAUUAAUUUUGGAAGUUGGUAAAUAGUAUAUACUUUCAUUCAACUUCCUAAGUAGUGAUUAAUUUUCCAUUGAUUCCACUAUUUUCUACAAGGCACGUGCUGGAAUCACAUAAGUUCGCUUUCCCUCAUUUAAUUUAACAAACAAAAGGAUAGUUCUAGCGUACAUAAAUGCAGCUGGAAAAUUGCAUCAAGUGAACGAAGGCACACCGGAGAUUUGGAUUUUCAUCAUCAUGUAAGCGGCAAUCCAAAUUAUCCAAUUAAUUUGGAUGAUGUUGACGUUCUCGAAGAGGAACACGAUCAGGAAGAAGAGACUGAAUUAAACAUUCCUGAUGUAAGAGGAAACCGAAAGGGGAAAAUACAAGCAAAAUGUUGGGAUCACAUUAAGUUGAUUUCAACGGGAAAAAUCGUCAAUGGAGUCUAAGAAUCCAGAGCAGUAUGUAAAUACUACCAACAAAGAUUGGCAUGGCAAAGAAGAAUUGGUACCACCCAUCUCAACCGUCAUUACAAAGUAUGGGCGGCCAAACACGGACUUAUUCCAGGCUGUCAAACACAAUUGCAAUUUGGCAGUCCAAACGCAAGUGGUUCUACUGCAACCUUAUCCACAUGGGUGUAUUCGGAGGAGAAAGCUCGAACCGGAAUGGUAAAGUUUGUUGCUGGUGUUGAGUUGCCUUUGGCAUUAAUAGACAACCAACACUACGUCUUGUAUGUGAAAGAAUAUCUGCAGCCAAGGUACGUUGAGGUAAAUCGAAACACUCUUCAUUCUGAUACAAUACAAUAUUUUACUUCAACAAAACAACAAUUAAUUAUGGAUU